This 368-nucleotide unclassified non-coding RNA is filed under the name uncultured fungus. RNAcentral describes it as "sequence contains ITS2". The stretch from base 1 to 52 matches the Rfam family "5.8S ribosomal RNA", at positions 103 to 154 of the family's 154-position model. The record is from RNAcentral. Lineage: Eukaryota; Fungi.
AACGCAUAUUGCGCUCUCUGGUAUUCCGGAGAGCAUGCUUGUUUGAGUAUCAGUAAACACCUCAAAAUCCUGAUUGUUUUCUUUUUUUUUUUUUCUUGGAAAUGAUCAAGACUUUGGAUUAUGAGUGAUCCCAAGACUUUUUGCAAAGAAAGAGGCGGGCCACUUGAAAUUUAGGUGCAGCUGGAUUUUUUCAUCUGAGCUAAAAGCAUAACUUAUUUAGUCCCGUCAAAAAGGAUUAUUACUUUUGCUCUAGCUAAUUUUAAAGGAUGAUUGUCCAAUUUGCUGACUGAUGCAGGAAUUUAACAGAAGCGAAAGCUCUCUCUGUUCAACUCGAUCUCAAAUCAAGUAAGACAACCCGCUGAACUUAA